GAUGAACGCUGGCGGCGUGCCUAAUACAUGCAAGUCGAGCGAACAGACGAGGAGCUUGCUCCUUUGACGUUAGCGGCGGACGGGUGAGUAACACGUGGGUAACCUACCUAUAAGACUGGGAUAACUUCGGGAAACCGGAGCUAAUACCGGAUAAUAUUUCGAACCGCAUGGUUCGAUAGUGAAAGAUGGCUCUGCUAUCACUUAUAGAUGGACCUGCGCCGUAUUAGCUAGUUGGUAAGGUAACGGCUUACCAAGGCAACGAUACGUAGCCGACCUGAGAGGGUGAUCGGCCACACUGGAACUGGAACACGGUCCAGACUCCUACGGGAGGCAGCAGUAGGGAAUCUUCCGCAAUGGGCGAAAGCCUGACGGAGCAACGCCGCGUGAGUGAUGAAGGUCUUCGGAUCGUAAAACUCUGUUAUUAGGGAAGAACAAACGUGUAAGUAACUGUGCACGUCUUGACGGUACCUAAUCAGAAAGCCACGGCUAACUACGUG
This 497-nucleotide ribosomal RNA is filed under the name uncultured bacterium. RNAcentral describes it as "partial 16S ribosomal RNA". It matches the Rfam family "Bacterial small subunit ribosomal RNA", at positions 28 to 507 of the family's 1533-position model. The record is from RNAcentral.